AUUGAACGCUGGCGGCAUGCCUUACACAUGCAAGUCGAACGGCAGCACGGGAGCUUGCUCCUGGUGGCGAGUGGCGAACGGGUGAGUAAUAUAUCGGAACGUACCCUAGAGUGGGGGAUAACGCAGCGAAAGUUGCGCUAAUACCGCAUACGAUCUACGGAUGAAAGUGGGGGAUCGCAAGACCUCAUGCUCAUGGAGCGGCCGAUAUCUGAUUAGCUAGUUGGUGGGGUAAAGGCCUACCAAGGCUUCGAUCAGUAGCUGGUCUGAGAGGACGACCAGCCACACUGGAACUGAGACACGGUCCAGACUCCUACGGGAGGCAGCAGUGGGGAAUUUUUGGGACAAUGGGCGGCAAGCCUGAUCCAGCAAUGCCGCGUGCAGGAUGAAGGCCUUCGGUU
RNAcentral lists this ribosomal RNA (398 nucleotides) under uncultured bacterium. RNAcentral's name for it is "bacterial SSU rRNA". It matches the Rfam family "Bacterial small subunit ribosomal RNA", at positions 30 to 423 of the family's 1533-position model. The record is from RNAcentral.